This 554-nucleotide ribosomal RNA is filed under the name Trichoderma asperellum. RNAcentral's name for it is "eukaryotic LSU rRNA". The stretch from base 178 to 331 matches the Rfam family "5.8S ribosomal RNA". The record is from RNAcentral. Lineage: Eukaryota; Fungi; Ascomycota; Sordariomycetes; Hypocreales; Hypocreaceae.
UGUCGGACGUUACCAAACUGUUGCCUCGGCGGGAUCUCUGCCCCGGGUGCGUCGCAGCCCCGGACCAAGGCGCCCGCCGGAGGACCAACCAAAACUCUUAUUGUAUACCCCCUCGCGGGUUUUUUUAUAAUCUGAGCCUUCUCGGCGCCUCUCGUAGGCGUUUCGAAAAUGAAUCAAAACUUUCAACAACGGAUCUCUUGGUUCUGGCAUCGAUGAAGAACGCAGCGAAAUGCGAUAAGUAAUGUGAAUUGCAGAAUUCAGUGAAUCAUCGAAUCUUUGAACGCACAUUGCGCCCGCCAGUAUUCUGGCGGGCAUGCCUGUCCGAGCGUCAUUUCAACCCUCGAACCCCUCCGGGGGGUCGGCGUUGGGGAUCGGCCCUGCCUUGGCGGUGGCCGUCUCCGAAAUACAGUGGCGGUCUCGCCGCAGCCUCUCCUGCGCAGUAGUUUGCACACUCGCAUCGGGAGCGCGGCGCGUCCACAGCCGUUAAACACCCAACUUCUGAAAUGUUGACCUCGGAUCAGGUAGGAAUACCCGCUGAACUUAAGCAUAUCAAA